GACGCGCCGGCGCUGCGGGGUUGGCACAGUCGCGGGAACAGCGCGGAGCAGUCUGUCAGCACUGCCUUCAAAAUGCACCCAGAAUAGAUUCACAAUUCACAACCGCCACUGUCACCACCUUCGUCCAGGCCCCCAUCAUCUGAGAAGCACCAAAAGAGGCAAACUGAGAUGCAGACAAAUGAUCAUCUGUAUGCUGAUCAUUUUGAAUAGUUUUUUAAAAUAUAUUCUUUCUUUAAAAAGAGACCAAAACCUGUCAAAAAAAUACUACCGUGGAAAGCUCAUAAAUACCGCAGUGGGAAGAACCCUGUGCUUAUCUUCAGUUUAUCGUCAGACAUCUUAGGGAAGUUUGAUAAAGGACACCAGGAGAAUUGAGAAUUAAAUGAAAAGGUAAUCCUUUUAAAGACCUCAGAAGAUGGAUCUGUUUGUUUCAAUCUGCUUUUGAGUUAACAGGUGGCCUUGUUACAGAGUACCACAAUACUUGGAUUUCACUGGCUUCUUGCCUUUCAUCUCAGCUGAAGAAUCAGUGUUUGAAUCGCCAGUGAAAUGUAAAUAUCUGUCUCAGCACCCCAAGAGGAUGGUCUCCAAGUCUGGCCAGAAGGAAAUCUCAGUUGAAAAAAAGCACACCUGGAAUGCAUCACUCUUUAAUUCUCAAAUCCAUAUGAUUGCCCAAAGAAGAGAUGCUAUGGCUCAUCGAGUACUCUCAGCAAGGCUUCAUAAAAUUAAAGGACUAAAAAAUGAAUUAGCUGAUAUGCAUCAUAAAUUGGAAGCCAUCCUUACAGAAAACCAAUUUUUGAAACAACUUCAGCUUAGGCAUUUGAAAGCUAUAGGAAAAUAUGAAAAU
RNAcentral lists this small RNA (841 nucleotides) under Pongo abelii (Sumatran orangutan). RNAcentral's name for it is "processed transcript". The record is from RNAcentral. Lineage: Eukaryota; Metazoa; Chordata; Mammalia; Primates; Hominidae.